UAGCAGAUAUGAUGUCUGGCAAAGGCUC
RNAcentral lists this non-coding RNA (28 nucleotides) under Homo sapiens (human). Lineage: Eukaryota; Metazoa; Chordata; Mammalia; Primates; Hominidae. The record is from RNAcentral.